This 2208-nucleotide long non-coding RNA is filed under the name Apis mellifera (honey bee). RNAcentral's name for it is "uncharacterized LOC100577398". The record is from RNAcentral. Lineage: Eukaryota; Metazoa; Arthropoda; Insecta; Hymenoptera; Apidae.
AUACGUAUGAUCUCGACAACCUUUUGAACAUUAAUCUCUUUACAUCCCGAUCUAAGUAUGAAACAAGCAAAUUGUAUGCGCGAACCACGUCCUUUCGAAUAAAAGCGACAAAAGGGUGUCGGCUAAGCGGUCAGCCUAGCUACACAUACUGGUUAAUGUGUAGACAUUUGGUGUUCACGGCUGUAUCAGAGCAAAGAAUGAAUAUUCAACGGUAAACAGCGGGCAGCAGCGGUUUGCAAAGGGUUGUACGCGGAGAUAGAGAAGGGAUAGGAGGCAAGGUGGUUCCUGGUUUGGCCAGCAGGGGAGAUCUGCCGUGACUUGUGCAGAUAUAAACGUGGCCACGGUUCAGAGGGGCGUUGUUUACGAUAUUACAUCUGUAAUACCCGGUCAAGUGGGCAGCGUCCACCGGUGUUCCGUAAUCUCUUCCGUGCCAGGACUUCGUUCCUAGCCAGAUACAGCACGUCGAGCUACGGUAAUAGUGGUGGCCUCGUAAGUGCAUCGAGGAUAGUACACCGUGGUUUAAUACUUUCUCAAGUAUCUGCUGCAAUGUACGCUGCCUAUGCGACGUAACGUUGGGGCAUUAUAUUUUCAGCGUUAUCAGAAAGAGGAGAAUAAAAGAUAAGACGAGAAUUUAGCGAUUUCAUCGAUACCAACUGUCCGCCUCAGAAGUUGGUAGCCGAAGGACAAACAUCGGUGUAGCUAGGGAGAACGAUGUUUUGAUUCUGGCUGUUAUAGGGAAGACAUAUAUCACUGGUCCACCCUAUUGCUAUAGAUGCUAGUAGUUAGGGUAGCGAUGUUGGGCCCGAAUGGACAUGCAGCGAUUUAUUGCUACGUUCGAUAUAUAUGAUUAUUUAAAUCUUUUUCAACUAUCAUGGCUUCCUGCACAUAAAUUUAUCUAUUCUUAUACGUUUCAAAUAAUGCUAUUUAUCAUUUGACGAAUAAUAUAGGUCAAUUGUCAUUUGUCGAUCAAUUAAAAAAAUUUGAGGACAAAAUUUACUUUGACGUGUAAAUUCCUCGCAUGAAAAGCAGAAAGGCGUGUAAACGUGGACACGAAGCGAUCUUGGAUGUUGGCUGGGAAGUCCAGUAACACGUUUCCGUUAUGGAGAUUGGUUCUGCUGACGGAAUACAAAGCACGCGGUUGCACGGGAUAUAGUAAUGGCGAAACUAAGGACACGAUCUCGAACCGCGUAUAUCUCGAACAGAUCCGUCUCGAGUUUAUUGAGAUUGACACUUGCCUUUAACCUUCGCAUGUUAUUUAAAGACUUUCACAAGAUCUUUAAAUUGAAGUUUCACCUUUUGUUAUUUGGUUUCGAUUCUUUCGAUUAUUGAGCGAAUUUGUAUUCUUUGAGAUUCUUUUUUAUAAGCUUAUAAAUUAAUAAUGAAAAUAUAUUAAAAUAUAAAGGAAUAAAGGAAAAAUUACACGAGAUACAGUCUUCUUUUCACGAUGUCUCGAAUUCAACUAACGAAUACUUUUUACAAUUGAUUUUCACUCUUAACGCAAUGUCUAUUGGGUAUGAGUUGCAUUUCUCUAUCUGUCCAAGAUUAAAGAGAUGUGUGAGAAGGAAUUACGAUGCAGAAGAGAUCCGCGACGAAUUCACGGCGAAUACAAAAGGGGAUCGAUGGAUCGUCUAAGGCCGUGUCUGACAGGAAAGUCGAAAUCUGUCGGUGGCAGAAAUAUUCGAAGCGCAUGGCGUAUUUCACGCCUAAUUUCUCGCGAAUUCCGCGCUGAAUAUUCUUCGUUCUCGAUCUCAUGCGGGCCACGUGCCAUUCAUCUCAUAGCCGGCUGAAUCUUUGAAUCGCGGUUUCAGUCACUUUAAUCUUUUUUUUUUCUUUUCUCAUUUUUCAUCUUGUUUUUAUCUUAAGUUUUUUUUUACUAGAUUAUAGAUUUAUUUUCUUCAAAAUUUUCAUUAUUUAUUAUACUUGAUACUUAGAUACAAGAAGAAAGGAAUUGUCAAUGCCAAUUAUUAUUUUCUAUAUAUUUUCUAUAUUUAUAAAACAUAUUUAGAAAAAUAAGAAUUCGUUUCAUUUUUCAGUUUUAAAAAUGACAACAAUAAAAUUUACAUCUGUAAAAAAAGAAUGUAGAAUCUGUUUUACUUAAUCUAAUGAUUUUGUACAAUUAUCUUUGUCAUUUGGUGAAAAAAGGAAGUAUAUCAUGUAUAUCAAAUUGUGAUAUUAUUUUAAAUAAUGUUUAAUGUAUGUAGUCAAAAU